RNAcentral lists this transfer-messenger RNA (362 nucleotides) under Oceanobacillus massiliensis. It matches the Rfam family "transfer-messenger RNA". From Rfam's summary of the family: Bacterial tmRNA, also known as 10Sa RNA or SsrA, is named for its dual tRNA and mRNA-like properties. Its role is to liberate the mRNA from a stalled ribosome. Lineage: Bacteria; Bacillati; Bacillota; Bacilli; Caryophanales; Bacillaceae. The record is from RNAcentral.
GGGGACGUUACGGAUUCGACAGGGAUAGUUUGAGCUCGGGUUGCACGUCGAGGUUACGGCUCGUAAAACGUUACUCGCCUAAAUAUAACUGGCAAAGAAAACAAUUACUCUUUAGCAGCUGCGUAAGUAGCACUAAAGGAUCCUUCCUGCGCUCGCCCGUGGGGCAGAUCGAAGGGUCUCAACUUUAAGCGGGCUAUACUGACAUCCACCGUCUGAGGAUAGCAGUUGAACCGAAUCAGACUAGCUCCACUGAAGCCUGUUGGUAGGCUGACGUGCGAGUGAAUGAUAAUAUACCAACUAUGCGUGUAGAAGCCUGAGUGCCGAUAUCUCUGGACGUGGGUUCGAUUCCCACCGUCUCCACU